This 1476-nucleotide ribosomal RNA is filed under the name uncultured prokaryote. RNAcentral's name for it is "partial 16S ribosomal RNA". It matches the Rfam family "Bacterial small subunit ribosomal RNA". The record is from RNAcentral.
AUUGAACGCUGGCGGCAGGCCUAACACAUGCAAGUCGAGCGGAAACGACAACAUUGAUUCUUCGGAGGAUUUGUUGGGCGUCGAGCGGCGGACGGGUGAGUAAUGCUUAGGAAUUUGCCCAGUUGAGGGGGAUAACUAUUGGAAACGAUAGCUAAUACCGCAUACGCUCCUUUCUGUGAAAAGGGGGACCUUCGGGCCUCUCGCGAUUGGAUAAGCCUAAGUGAGAUUAGCUAGUUGGUGAGGUAAGAGCUCACCAAGGCGACGAUCUCUAGCUGGUCUGAGAGGAUGAUCAGCCACACUGGAACUGAGACACGGUCCAGACUCCUACGGGAGGCAGCAGUGGGGAAUAUUGCACAAUGGGCGAAAGCCUGAUGCAGCCAUGCCGCGUGUAUGAAGAAGGCCUUCGGGUUGUAAAGUACUUUCAGCAGUGAGGAAGGGCGGUACGUUAAUAGCGUAUUGUCUUGACGUUAGCUGCAGAAGAAGCACCGGCUAACUCCGUGCCAGCAGCCGCGGUAAUACGGAGGGUGCGAGCGUUAAUCGGAAUUACUGGGCGUAAAGCGCGCGUAGGUGGUUUGUUAAGCGAGAUGUGAAAGCCCCGGGCUCAACCUGGGAACUGCAUUUCGAACUGGCAGGCUAGAGUAUGGUAGAGGUAAGUGGAAUUUCCUGUGUAGCGGUGAAAUGCGUAGAUAUAGGAAGGAACACCAGUGGCGAAGGCGACUUACUGGACAAUACUGACGCUGAGGUGCGAAAGCGUGGGGAGCAAACAGGAUUAGAUCCCCUGGUAGUCCACGCCGUAAACGAUGUCAACUAGCCGUUGGGAGCAAUUAAGCUUUUAGUGGCGCAGCUAACGCAUUAAGUAGACCGCCUGGGGAGUACGGUCGCAAGAUUAAAACUCAAAUGAAUUGACGGGGGCCCGCACAAGCGGUGGAGCAUGUGGUUUAAUUCGACGCAACGCGAAGAACCUUACCAACUCUUGACAUCCUUCAGAAAGCCAGCGGAGACGCAGGUGUCCUUCGGGAACUCUGAGACAGGUGCUGCAUGGCUGUCGUCAGCUCGUGUUGUGAAAUGUUGGGUUAAGUCCCGCAACGAGCGCAACCCUUAUCCUUGUUUGCCAGCACUUCGGGUGGGAACUCCAGGGAGACUGCCGGUGAUAAACCGGAGGAAGGUGGGGACGACGUCAAGUCAUCAUGGCCCUUACGAGUAGGGCUACACACGUGCUACAAUGGCGUAUACAGAGGGCUGCCAACUCGCGAGAGUGAGCGAAUCCCAGAAAGUACGUCGUAGUCCGGAUUGGAGUCUGCAACUCGACUCCAUGAAGUCGGAAUCGCUAGUAAUCGUGGAUCAGAAUGCCACGGUGAAUACGUUCCCGGGCCUUGUACACACCGCCCGUCACACCACGGGAGUGGGCUCUACCCGACGGCCGUGCGCUAACCUUUUGGAGGCAGCGGACCACGGUAGGCAUCAGCGACUGGGGUG